This 1159-nucleotide ribosomal RNA is filed under the name Escherichia coli. RNAcentral's name for it is "partial 23S ribosomal RNA". It matches the Rfam family "Bacterial large subunit ribosomal RNA", at positions 609 to 1768 of the family's 2925-position model. The record is from RNAcentral. Lineage: Bacteria; Pseudomonadati; Pseudomonadota; Gammaproteobacteria; Enterobacterales; Enterobacteriaceae.
UGUAUAAUGGGUCAGCGACUUAUAUUCUGUAGCAAGGUUAACCGAAUAGGGGAGCCGAAGGGAAACCGAGUCUUAACUGGGCGUUAAGUUGCAGGGUAUAGACCCGAAACCCGGUGAUCUAGCCAUGGGCAGGUUGAAGGUUGGGUAACACUAACUGGAGGACCGAACCGACUAAUGUUGAAAAAUUAGCGGAUGACUUGUGGCUGGGGGUGAAAGGCCAAUCAAACCGGGAGAUAGCUGGUUCUCCCCGAAAGCUAUUUAGGUAGCGCCUCGUGAAUUCAUCUCCGGGGGUAGAGCACUGUUUCGGCAAGGGGGUCAUCCCGACUUACCAACCCGAUGCAAACUGCGAAUACCGGAGAAUGUUAUCACGGGAGACACACGGCGGGUGCUAACGUCCGUCGUGAAGAGGGAAACAACCCAGACCGCCAGCUAAGGUCCCAAAGUCAUGGUUAAGUGGGAAACGAUGUGGGAAGGCCCAGACAGCCAGGAUGUUGGCUUAGAAGCAGCCAUCAUUUAAAGAAAGCGUAAUAGCUCACUGGUCGAGUCGGCCUGCGCGGAAGAUGUAACGGGGCUAAACCAUGCACCGAAGCUGCGGCAGCGACGCUUAUGCGUUGUUGGGUAGGGGAGCGUUCUGUAAGCCUGCGAAGGUGUGCUGUGAGGCAUGCUGGAGGUAUCAGAAGUGCGAAUGCUGACAUAAGUAACGAUAAAGCGGGUGAAAAGCCCGCUCGCCGGAAGACCAAGGGUUCCUGUCCAACGUUAAUCGGGGCAGGGUGAGUCGACCCCUAAGGCGAGGCCGAAAGGCGUAGUCGAUGGGAAACAGGUUAAUAUUCCUGUACUUGGUGUUACUGCGAAGGGGGGACGGAGAAGGCUAUGUUGGCCGGGCGACGGUUGUCCCGGUUUAAGCGUGUAGGCUGGUUUUCCAGGCAAAUCCGGAAAAUCAAGGCUGAGGCGUGAUGACGAGGCACUACGGUGCUGAAGCAACAAAUGCCCUGCUUCCAGGAAAAGCCUCUAAGCAUCAGGUAACAUCAAAUCGUACCCCAAACCGACACAGGUGGUCAGGUAGAGAAUACCAAGGCGCUUGAGAGAACUCGGGUGAAGGAACUAGGCAAAAUGGUGCCGUAACUUCGGGAGAAGGCACGCUGAUAUGUAGGUGAAGCGA